AGAAUGGCUGAGUGGUUAA
RNAcentral lists this unclassified non-coding RNA (19 nucleotides) under Dictyostelium discoideum. Lineage: Eukaryota; Evosea; Eumycetozoa; Dictyosteliales; Dictyosteliaceae. The record is from RNAcentral.